UCAGAUUGAACGCUGGCGGCAGGCCUAACACAUGCAAGUCGAGCGGUAACAUUUCUAAGCUUGCUUAGAAGAUGACGAGCGGCGGACGGGUGAGUAAUGCUUGGGGAUCUGCCUGAUGGCGGGGGACAACCACUGGAAACGGUGGCUAAUACCGCAUAAUACCUAUGGGUCAAAGUGUGGGACCUUCGGGCCACACGCCAUCAGAUGAACCCAAGUGAGAUUAGCUGGUUGGUAAGGUAACGGCUUACCAAGGCGACGAUCUCUAGCUGGUCUGAGAGGAUGAUCAGCCACACUGGGACUGAGACACGGCCCAGACUCCUACGGGAGGCAGCAGUGGGGAAUAUUGGACAAUGGGGGAAACCCUGAUCCAGCAAUGCCGCGUGUGUGAAGAAGGCCUUCGGGUUGUAAAGCACUUUCAGUGGUGAGGAAGGCGUUGUAGUUAAUAGCUGCAACGAUUGACGUUAGCCACAGAAGAAGCACCGGCUAACUCCGUGCCAGCAGCCGCGGUAAUACGGAGGGUGCGAGCGUUAAUCGGAAUUACUGGGCGUAAAGCGCACGUAGGCGGUUUGUUAAGCAAGAUGUGAAAGCCCAGGGCUCAACCUUGGAAUUGCAUUUUGAACUGGCAAGCUAGAGUUUUGAAGAGGGUGGUAGAAUUUC
RNAcentral lists this ribosomal RNA (657 nucleotides) under uncultured bacterium. RNAcentral describes it as "bacterial SSU rRNA". It matches the Rfam family "Bacterial small subunit ribosomal RNA", at positions 24 to 670 of the family's 1533-position model. The record is from RNAcentral.